GAUGAACGCUGCCAGAAUGCUUAACACAUGCAAGUCUUUGGCGAAUCUGUGCUUGCACCGGCUAGCCAAGGCGGACGGGUGAGUAACGCGUAAAGAACUUGCCCUGCAGACAGGGAUAACAGACGGAAACGACUGAUAACACCUGAUACAGUUGCCGGCACGCAUGUGCCUGGCAAUGAAAAGAGAUGCUGCAGGAGAGCUUUGCGUCCUAUUAGCUUGUUGGUGAGGUGACGGCUCACCAAGGCGAUGAUAGGUAGCCGGCCUGAGAGGGUGAACGGCCACAAGGGGACUGAGAUACGGCCCUUACUCCUACGGGAGGCAGCAGUGGGGAAUAUUGGACAAUGGGGGCAACCCUGAUCCAGCAAUUCUGUGUGCACGAAGAAGGUUUUCGGAUUGUAAAGUGCUUUCAGCAGGGAAGAAGAAAGUGACGGUACCUGCAGAAGAAGCGACGGCUAAAUACGUG
This 463-nucleotide ribosomal RNA is filed under the name uncultured bacterium. RNAcentral describes it as "partial 16S ribosomal RNA". It matches the Rfam family "Bacterial small subunit ribosomal RNA", at positions 28 to 507 of the family's 1533-position model. The record is from RNAcentral.